RNAcentral lists this ribosomal RNA (406 nucleotides) under uncultured bacterium. RNAcentral describes it as "partial 16S ribosomal RNA". It matches the Rfam family "Bacterial small subunit ribosomal RNA", at positions 30 to 526 of the family's 1533-position model. The record is from RNAcentral.
AUUGAACGCUGGCGGCAGGCCUAACACAUGCAAGUCGAACGAGUGGCGGACGGGUGAGUAAUGUCUGGGAAACUGCCCGAUGGCGGGGGAUAACUACUGGAAACGGUAGCUAAUACCGCAUACCAUCGGAUGUGCCCAGAUGGGAUUAGCUAGUGGGUGGGGUAAAGGCUCACCAAGGCGACGAUCCCUAGCUGGUCUGAGAGGAUGACCAGCCACACUGGGACUGAGACACGGUCCAGACUCCUACGGGAGGCAGCAGUGGGGAAUAUUGGACAAGGGGCGCAAGCCUGAUGCAGCCAUGCCGCGUGUAUGAAGAAGGCCUUCGGGUUGUAAAGUACUUUCAGCGGGGAGGCGGUACUCGCAGAAGAAGCACCGGCUAACUCCGUGCCAGCAGCCGCGGUAAUUC